AGUGCAGUGGGACCACAGUGCUGCAGAACCACCAAUGCAGCGGAACCACAGUGCAUCGGGACCACAAAUGCAGUGGGACCACAGUGCAUCGGGACCACAAGUGCAGCAGGACCACCAGUGCAGCGGGACCACCAGUUCAGGCCCACCACCCUGGGAAGCCUUUUGUUUAUCACAGCCAUUACUCAAUAGCAGGAAUAAUUAACCAGUGCUUUGCUCUUUGGGGAUUACACAGCUAACCAUCCAUAACCCACAUGAGGUUGUUCUCUCUGCAAAUCAGUUCCAGCACGAUUUUUGAAAGGAAGGAGUGACUAUGACAGAAGAGAUGGAGUGGGUGGCGCUGAAGGGAAGGCGAGCAGGCAUGCCGGUGUCGAUAGAGGACAUUCCACCACUGUAAUAAUUACCAUGUUAUGAUUGGUCUACCUUUCAUUUUGUAUUCCUGGUUUUAAUUUCUAGAGUACUUUUUCUUUCUUGUAAGCUAUAAUUUCCCCCUUGUGUGGAGGGUUUUUUCCAAAAUAUGUUCAUGAAAUUAGAUUUUCAUUUUUCUGCAUACGUCAUUCAUACUCAAUUUAUUGAACAGUUUCUCCUUCUGUUCCAAAGAUUUUUGUUUCAGUCUGAUGUUUAUGUAAUAUCUUGGUAAUUUUCUCAAAUUCUUGAUGAAUUAAAAAAUGCUCCUAUAGAUAGGAGGAUUCCUAUCUAUAAAAUAUGCUCAGAAUUGCGCACUAUCUGUUGCAUGAGUUGGUUUCUCCACACGAGCCACGCUAUUUAUCUAUUCACAGUGAACACAAGUAAUGGUGGCAGGAGUCUGGGCAUGGUGACUCAGAGCCACACUGGCCAGGUUUCAAGGUCUUUGCCCAUGGUGGCACUUUACACCGCCCUGCAUGAUAAGGCUCCUGACUUUGAUCCUUAUGAUUAGAUGCCAUUUGCCAAAAUGCCCUUAGAGCUGUGCUUAUAAGACUGAGUUUCCUUCCCACUUAGUUUGCUUUUUAUACACAUAUACAUUUUAAAUCUAGGUCCCACCCAUGAGAGAAAACAUUGCUCUCCUUAGUCUGGCUUAUUUCACGUAACGUGAUGAUUUCUAGUCAUGUCCAAACAUCAUGACGUCAUGAUUCCUUUUUUGUUUUUUUCUAGAUGUAUAUGAUUAUACUGUGACUGUCUUCAGACACACCAGAAGAGGGCAGGGGAUCACAUACAGAUGGUUGUGAGCCACCAAGUGGUUGCUGAGAAUUGAACUCAGGACCUCUGGAACAACAGUCAGUGCUCUAAACUGCUGAGCUAUCUCUCCAGCCCCGAUGCCAUUUUUCCUUGUGGCUGUAUAAAAUCCCAUUGUCUGCUGUAUGAUGUUUUCCUUGUCAGGUCAUCUACUGACAGACAUCUAGGUUGGUUCCUUUCCCUGGCCACCAAAUAGCAAUAAACAAGGCUAUAUGUUUAAUAAUAAACAAUAAACAAG
Molecule: long non-coding RNA, 1447 nt
Filed under: Mus caroli (Ryukyu mouse)
Lineage: Eukaryota; Metazoa; Chordata; Mammalia; Rodentia; Muridae
Description: RIKEN cDNA 4930425O10 gene (MGP_CAROLIEiJ_G0005756.1)
Source: RNAcentral